Tachysurus vachellii is the source of this 423-nucleotide non-coding RNA. The record is from the annotation of a RefSeq genome assembly. NCBI's taxonomy places the organism in Eukaryota, Metazoa, Chordata, Actinopteri, Siluriformes, Bagridae.
AUGUUUGCUUCAGCUCCACUGCUGCUGCUGGCUCUCGCCCCCUAUGUGUUCUGUGCUACUGAGCUCAUCCAGCCAGACUCACUGCUUAUAAAGCCAGGAGAGACUUUAACCAUCACCUGUAAAGUGUCUGGAGCUUCUAUCACUGAUAGCAGCAGCCACUAUGGAACAGCUUGGAUUCGACAACCUGCAGGAAAAGCUUUAGAAUGGAUCAACAUCAUUUAUUAUAAUGGAGUUAUUGGUCAAAAAGAUUCACUUAAAGACAAGUUUGUGGUCUCUCGAGACACUUCCAGUAACUCUGUGACAUUACGAGGACAGAACAUGCAGACUGAAGACACAGCUGUGUAUUACUGCGCUCGUGAUCCACACAGUGACACAACAAGCUGCAGUGCUGCGCAAAAACCUCAUCAAAAUUCACUUCUUUAA